Molecule: long non-coding RNA, 869 nt
Organism: Gallus gallus (chicken)
Lineage: Eukaryota; Metazoa; Chordata; Aves; Galliformes; Phasianidae
Source: Ensembl
GGUGUUUUGAUCAGGAUUUCUUACCUUUUUCUUCAUUAGAGUAUCCUACAGCACUUCAGGUUAUCAAAUGCUCAUUCCAAGUUUGUGCAUGCCAGAGCAAUUGUAAAACUGAAGGAAUGAGGCCUGACUAUUUGGGUUAUAGCUGUCCACGCACGUAUGUUUAUGCUGACAACCCAUCUUUCAACUGGAUGAGGACAGACCUUGCAGGAUGUGAGGGCUGGAUUUUGUGCCAUCUUUUAAGCGAGCAGAGUUCAGCUGUUGCAAUGCUUGGCUUCCUUUAGCUGAUCAGGGCUUCCAUCCAAGACUUUCUAGGCAUGCCGCUGUGUGAGGAGAAUGGGACCUGCCAGUGCUCCAGACUGGGAAUAAAUUUGUCCUGCUGUAUUUACUCUUCCAACCAUGUUCACUAGAUGUACAGAGUUGUAGCUUCACUCUGUGAACGUGGGCUACAUUCUCUCACAUUAAUGGAGAACAUGAAGAGGGAGAGAAAGUUUUCAUUUUAAUUCACCAUUAUGCAACUCAUUUAUUUUGGUUAGUUUGGGUGCCAUCGGUGUGUACUGCUGUCUUUUGCAGAGGAAUAUCCUUCUUGUGUUGAACUGCUUUUGUAUUAAUUUUUCACUUAAUUGUAGCUUGAAAUGGAGCAAGGGUGUACAGACCUAGGGCAGAACUGGCAUGGUGAAAGAUCUAUUGGAACUGUACUGGGCAGCUGCUGUCUAAGAUAGCUUAUGAGGGUUUGAUUGUAUGUGCUUUAUUGGAGUUAGCAUCUCUUUAUGGUAAAAGCUUCCUUUGUUGUCAUUUUAGAAAUGGGAAUUCUUCCACUUCUCUAUUUGUUAUAGCAGUUACUUCAGUGUUAUUUUCACUAAAUAAACAGU